Molecule: long non-coding RNA, 469 nt
Filed under: Gallus gallus (chicken)
Lineage: Eukaryota; Metazoa; Chordata; Aves; Galliformes; Phasianidae
Description: long non-coding RNA NONGGAT004578
Source: RNAcentral
GCCACAUUUAAUAGCCCCUCCUGGAUCACUCCCCCCUUAGACAAGGUCAGCCUGAGCCUGCUUUGGGCAUACCCUGGGGAAGAUAUGGAUUCCUGCAAUGUGCAGCAUGUAACCCAAGGUGAAAACAGGGACAGCCUAUGCAAGGCUACACAUUGAGUGGAACAGUUUUUGUGCUGAAGAGCAGUUUGAAGGUCUGGUAGUGUGGUAUGAGCAAAAGAAGCCUCCAGACUCACUUGCAAGUCAAAUGAAGAAAGUCAGGCAACUAUUGAACCUGGUGGUGAUUCAUCUGUACUCUCCAGUUUGUGCUGAUUGCUAAAAUGUAGAUGUGUAGUGUGGGCAACAGGCACAAAAUGAUAAAAUUAGGGAAAUGACUCUUUCACAAGUAGUGCAACGAACCUGUUUGGAGGUGGAAAGAGGAUCAAGUAGUUAAUACAGAAGUCAGAUAGACAAAGCUAUAUAUGGUGGUGAC